RNAcentral lists this ribosomal RNA (584 nucleotides) under uncultured Aeromonas sp. RNAcentral describes it as "bacterial SSU rRNA". It matches the Rfam family "Bacterial small subunit ribosomal RNA", at positions 346 to 920 of the family's 1533-position model. Lineage: Bacteria; Pseudomonadati; Pseudomonadota; Gammaproteobacteria; Aeromonadales; Aeromonadaceae. The record is from RNAcentral.
AGGCAGCAGUGGGGAAUAUUGCACAAUGGGGGAAACCCUGAUGCAGCCAUGCCGCGUGUGUGAAGAAGGCCUUCGGGUUGUAAAGCACUUUCAGCGAGGAGGAAAGGUCAGUAGCUAAUAUCUGCUGGCUGUGACGUUACUCGCAGAAGAAGCACCGGCUAACUCCGUGCCAGCAGCCGCGGUAAUACGGAGGGUGCAAGCGUUAAUCGGAAUUACUGGGCGUAAAGCGCACGCAGGCGGUUGGAUAAGUUAGAUGUGAAAGCCCCGGGCUCAACCUGGGAAUUGCAUUUAAAACUGUCCAGCUAGAGUCUUGUAGAGGGGGGUAGAAUUCCAGGUGUAGCGGUGAAAUGCGUAGAGAUCUGGAGGAAUACCGGUGGCGAAGGCGGCCCCCUGGACAAAGACUGACGCUCAGGCGCGAAAGCGUGGGUAGCGAACAGGAUUAGAUACCCCUGGUAGUCCACGCCGUAAACGAUGUCUGCUAGCCGUUGGGGGGCUUGUCCCUUCAGUGGCGGAGCUAACGCGAUAAGCAGACCGCCUGGGGAGUAACGGCCGCAAGGUUAAAACUCAAAUGAAUUGACGGGGGC